CAUCUUUGAAUAUGUUGACACAUUGACAUUGACAUUAUUGAUGACACUUGAAAUUUGGGAUGCAGUUUCUGUACUAAAUCUUAAGUUUUCCACCAUUUCCUCGUUGUCUGAUGCUUGUUUAGUCUUCACGAAUCCCUGUUAGUCUGUCGAGAUAUGAUAUGAAAGGAUCCAUCUCCUCAAAGAGAUGGAUUACCCCAAUAAAUCUCUGUGGAGAGUAUUUGCCGGAUGAUGGUCCUGCAAAAUUUGCAUGACCUCCACUGACUGUGAGAGUGACAGCCACUAGAGGGGUUCUUAGGGUUCUGGUGCUAAGAGUGUACCUUUAAGUGAACAUGGAUGGCGAAUAGAUAAGUAACUCCAUGUUUUUUCUGACCCAAAGCAGCAAAGACAGAGGAACUCAUGGGACUUAUUUGAAGAAAGUAAACACAUUUCAAUCUCAAAAAGACAUUAAGUAUGGAUGUUUUGAGCCUCACCUGAGUACAGUAUGAGCUUCAGGAGAUCCGCCAAUAGUUUAUUGAUGAUUAAGAUGGUUUGAUCCACUACAAUGUCAAACUUUGAGACAUCUAUAUUGAUUAUGUUAUUGAUUUGGCUUGUUAUACUUGUAUUUAAUGUGCCUACUUAUUUUAUACAUUGCAUACUUUAUUUGAUAUAACUGAUUAACGAGGAAUCAUUGGCGUUGUUUGCAUAUGUCAUCAAGUCAGGGAGGUGUUUGUGAUGUUCAUCCAGUUCAUGCGCAGAAAAUAUAGAAAUAUUUUGGGGUUCUGGCAUUUUUAAACCUCCUUCUAGAGGUGUUGAAUUCACUAUGUUGUUGGUGGUCCCAUGUCAGUUUUGCUGUCUCCUCCUUCACAGGACUAUGAUGCCAAAACUAAAGUGUUAAACAAAGGUAAAGGGGUCUGUUUUUACCAGUCCUAUUAUAGUAAAAAUAUUGUCAGAAAAUCUGAAUAAUGGGAUUAUGUUUGUGUUAGUAUUGUCAAAAGUUCACUCUGUGCAUUUGGAGCAAGAC
Pelobates cultripes (western spadefoot toad) is the source of this 1000-nucleotide non-coding RNA. The record is from the annotation of a GenBank genome assembly. NCBI's taxonomy places the organism in Eukaryota, Metazoa, Chordata, Amphibia, Anura, Pelobatidae.